CUAGAAAAUUAAUGUAUUAGAUUUAAAUUGGUUAAUCAUUAAUUGCAUUGUGGAUUCCUUUUUUUGCACCUUUAACCAACAGUUGAAUAAUUUAAUAAUAAUAAAAGUGCAACAGAUCUGAAAUGAAUAUAAAAUAUUAUUUAUUUGUUUACUUGUUCAGUCAAUGGUGCAAAAAGGUAUCUGGACUAGAUGACCUAUCUGGCCUUUGAUUAGGCCUACUGCAUCUUCUGAUGGAGAUGUAAAACGAAGUGUGUGAGUUUAAAAGACCCGUGUGUUCCUCUAAGAAGGACAGGGUGAAGGAAAUGCACCAUACCGUGACGUAGGGCACGGCCGACAUGCUGCAGCUCCAGACCCGGAGGGGUUGGCAGCUCAGGAUCAGAGACAAGCGACUCGGCGCGCCAGGAUCUGUAAUCUAAGACGGCAAAUUCGGCGCUUAGCGUUCCUUUCGAACCGGUUUCACUGACUGCGUUUAACGUGCAGCGAAGGACGGGAUUAAGGCAGGUGAGCUGCAUGAUGGCAGGCUGAUCGCCGAUCAGAAGAAGGAGGUGGAAGAUUGAAGACCCGAUUUUUAUUUAGUUUUUUUGUUAAAUAAAAGGUUUCUUUAAACAACCAACACCUGCCUGACUGUACGAGUUAUUUAC
Ictalurus punctatus (channel catfish) is the source of this 641-nucleotide long non-coding RNA. RefSeq lists it as uncharacterized. The transcript is spliced from 4 exons. NCBI's taxonomy places the organism in Eukaryota, Metazoa, Chordata, Actinopteri, Siluriformes, Ictaluridae. The record is from RefSeq and is a predicted model, not a curated record.